Long non-coding RNA from Passer montanus (Eurasian tree sparrow), 784 nucleotides. RefSeq lists it as uncharacterized. The transcript has 4 exons. NCBI's taxonomy places the organism in Eukaryota, Metazoa, Chordata, Aves, Passeriformes, Passeridae. The record is from RefSeq and is a predicted model, not a curated record.
CUGAUCUCUAAAAUGGCCAUGAUAAACACACUGAAGCUGUGGACAAGCUCUUUAACCCAGAGAACUGGAAAGAACAGUGGUAGACCAAGCUCUCUGGGUUGGAAAAGGAUUAAGUUUUUUCAGCAACAGCUGGAAGAAAAACAAGUGGAGGGCUCAAAAGAUGUAUGUUCUCACUGCAAAGAAAAUAAAGUCCCCUGACUUCACAGUGUAACAUGAAAACUUGUCAAAACCAAGCCAUUUGACCAAUAAACAACCCAUAUUGCACACCUUAGUGGCAUGAAAUUCCAAAUGGCUAUUUUGAUGCUGACCAACACCACAGAGGGAAGCAUUGUCUUAUGCCAGGUAUUGAUCUAAUCACCUCUCUCCACUAUCCUGACCUGUCACCAGUAAUGAAACAGCUGCAGUAAUAGCUUCUGUCACCUGGGAGGAAGGGAUGAAUAAAAUAAUGGAGAUGGUGGGAUGACAGUCUCCUGACAUCCUGAAGAUGACUCCCUAGGCUCCACAGCAAAUAACUUAAUAGUUUUAACAAGAACUCUGAAUAAACUGUCUAGCAUGUAGUUCAGCCUGAAAAACACCAGACAGAGAAAUUCUGCCUGAAGAAAUUGCCUCCUAAGGUCAUGUUAUGGACAAAGUGGACAUUCACCAGUCUGUCCUGGUUUGUAGAUGGGUUUGUCUGUCUGCACGAAGACGAUGCUCUCUGUGUCCCAGAUCAUCACUGACCGCCGCUCCUCUAGGCUGAUGGUGCUGCCCUUGGCAGAGAAGGAAAUGAAAGCCAGGGGUGCAG